Molecule: long non-coding RNA, 236 nt
Organism: Ochotona princeps (American pika)
Lineage: Eukaryota; Metazoa; Chordata; Mammalia; Lagomorpha; Ochotonidae
Exons: 3
Source: RefSeq, a predicted model, not a curated record
GAGAGAGACGCCCAGCCCGGCCUGGCCCAUAGUUCUGCGCUACCAGGAGCCCUGGGGUGCAGGGCAGGGAGAAACCUCCCACACCCCAAACCCUCGCUAGGGAGACAGCCAGGGGAACCAGGAGGUGGCCCAGGGUGUAAGAAGGCAAGGAACACCCCAGACCCCCACUAGGGGGUAUGCAGGGCAGGGAGCACCCCAGACCCCCACUAGGGGUGCAGCCAGGGGCCUAGGAGGUG